GGAGAUUUAGCUCAGUGGCAGAGCACUUGCCUAGCAAGCGCAAGGCCCUGGGUUCGGUCCCCAGCUCCG
RNAcentral lists this transfer RNA (69 nucleotides) under Rattus norvegicus (Norway rat). It matches the Rfam family "tRNA". Rfam says of the family: Transfer RNA (tRNA) molecules are approximately 80 nucleotides in length. Their secondary structure includes four short double-helical elements and three loops (D, anti-codon, and T loops). Further hydrogen bonds mediate the characteristic L-shaped molecular structure. tRNAs have two regions of fundamental functional importance: the anti-codon, which is responsible for specific mRNA codon recognition, and the 3' end, to which the tRNAs corresponding amino acid is attached (by aminoacyl-tRNA synthetases). tRNAs cope with the degeneracy of the genetic code in two manners: having more than one tRNA (with a specific anti-codon) for a particular amino acid; and 'wobble' base-pairing, i.e. permitting non-standard base-pairing at the 3rd anti-codon position. Lineage: Eukaryota; Metazoa; Chordata; Mammalia; Rodentia; Muridae. The record is from Rfam by way of RNAcentral.